RNAcentral lists this long non-coding RNA (120 nucleotides) under Ictidomys tridecemlineatus (thirteen-lined ground squirrel). RNAcentral describes it as "lncRNA (ENSSTOG00000033245.1)". Lineage: Eukaryota; Metazoa; Chordata; Mammalia; Rodentia; Sciuridae. The record is from RNAcentral.
GCCUGCUGUGCUGACACUCCCCUCAUCAGAGGCCUGUCUUUCUGUUUGUCCCUAAGGUGUCCAUCAGGUUCUGAAGCCAGAUGCUGAAUCUGCUGGUGCUGGCACUGCUUCUUCUUUUCA